AUAUAUUUGAGUUUGGUGAUGGCUCUGAUUGAACACUGUCCAAGUGCUUGACACAUGCUAAUCGUACGUUUUAAUACAAAUUAUUAAAAAGUGGUGUACAGGUGAGUAUUAGAUAUUUUUUGCCGACCUUAAAGAGAAGCUAGAUACUUCAUAAUAAUAAAGAGGUGAAAACCUUGCUUUAAGAGGACGAUAAUUAUCAUCGGGACAGGUAGUAGUUAAGGUGAUGACUUAACUAGCCGACAAAUCCCGUAGUCGAAUCUGGAAGGAUGAUCGACCACAUUGGGUCUGAAAAAAGCCCAAUGCAUAUAAGUACAGCAGUGAGGAAUUUUGGUCAAUGGCCUAACGGCUGAACUGGCAACUUGGAGAAGCGGAAAGUCAUACCUCUAUAGAUAACUUACUAUAUGUAUGUAUUAGAUUAGAUUAAUUUUUGAAUGAAGCUUUGUUUAUAUAUCAAUAAUGAUGAUGUAUAUAUAAUGUCUUGACCAAUUACGUGCCAGCAGUCGCGGUAAUACGUAAGAGACUAGUGUUAUUCAUAUGAAUUAGGUUUAAAGGGUACUUAGGCGGCCAUAACAUCUUGUAAAAAUGCAAAUAUUAGGCUAGAGUUAUAAUAGAAGAGGGUAGUACUUGAGGAGGAGAGAUAAAAUUCAUUGAUACCAAAGGGACUGGUUACGGCGAAAGCAACCCUUUAAAUAGUAACUGACGUUGAAGGACGAAGGCAUUGGUCACGAACAGGAUUAGAUACCCUUAGUAGUCUUUGCAGUCAAUGAUGAAUGUCAUGAGUUGGAUGAAAAUCUGGCACAUAAAUAAAAGUGUAAGCAUUCCACCUCAAGAGUAAUGUGGCAACGCAGGAACUGAAAUCACUAGACCGUUUCUGACACCAGCAGUGAAGUAUGUUGUUUAAUUCGAUAAUCCACGAAAAACCUUACCGCGGUUUGUAUAGUUUAGCUUAGGCUAACACUACAGGUAUUGCACGGCUGUUUUCAGUUAAUGUUGUGAAACUGUGUAUUUAUUACACUUAAUUAACGUAAUCCUUGACUUUAUUUUGUAGAUUUACGAUAAAGUGUUUACUUCGUUAUACAUGGAGUUAUGAGAAAGGGGACUAAUACAAGUCAUCAUGGUCUUGAUACCGCGGGCUACAGACGUGCCACAUCUUCCUAAACAAAGAGAUGCAAAAAUGUGAAUUUAAGCUAAUCUCAAAAAAUAGGAUAUAAUUUUAAUGGAUUGUAGUCUGAAACUCGACUAUAUGAAAAAGUAAUUGCUAGUAAUCGUGAAUCACCAGCGUCACGGUGAAUAUUGCUCGGAUUGGUACUAACCACUCGUCACAUGCUGAAAGGUGUAUAUACAAUAAGUUUGCUUUUAUUGGUUUAAGAUCUUGUACAAAUAGGUAUCUUCUUACACCGUAAAUCUUCGCAUGUAUAUCGCUGAUUAGUGUAAAGUCGAAAUACGGUUCGUGUAGCGGAAGUUGCACGGGAAGCAUGACUAUU
This 1484-nucleotide ribosomal RNA is filed under the name Emericellopsis fuci. RNAcentral describes it as "SSU rRNA". It matches the Rfam family "Bacterial small subunit ribosomal RNA". The record is from RNAcentral. Lineage: Eukaryota; Fungi; Ascomycota; Sordariomycetes; Hypocreales; Bionectriaceae.